Long non-coding RNA from Gorilla gorilla gorilla (western lowland gorilla), 597 nucleotides. RefSeq lists it as uncharacterized. The transcript has 4 exons. Lineage: Eukaryota; Metazoa; Chordata; Mammalia; Primates; Hominidae. The record is from RefSeq and is a predicted model, not a curated record.
GGGGCCCAGGGGAGGGCGCCACCUCCCCGUCGGGAACGAUGACCCUCUAGGGGGCAUGGAACUCGCGGGGAGGGAGUGGCCUCGCCCUUGAAGACGAAAGGCUCCUUCAAAAGGCGGGCGAGGGGCCGGGGGCGGUAGCUCACACCUGUCAUCCCAGCACUUGCGGAGGCCGAGGUGACUGGAACUGAUUUGACAUAACCAUCGUAUGCAUGGAGAAGCUGAGAACAGUAAUCUGCAGAAGCAAAAGUAUGAAACAGCCGGGCAAAGAUGCACAGAAACAGAAGCAAGGAAGGGGUCAAAGCAUCGUAGAACCACAGAUGUGAAAGAAUUGCGGAGAGGACGUUCUCCAGGAGGGACAUCAUUAACUCAACCCGGGCGAGAGACUAGGCUCUGACCAGGCUUUCCAACCCACGCAGCUUCAGCUUCCAUCAAGCCCAUCCUAACCACAACGAACACAAGGCAAGGCAAACAAGCAAAACAUAAUAAAGAUCAGAGAGAAUACAGAAAGACUGUGGAUUCUGCUGGCUCUUUUGUUUCUUUAUAAGAAAAGGUGCCCAUGAGGGGAGCGGAACAGGUGUAUGCUCUCACUUAGUAUAA